This 1204-nucleotide long non-coding RNA is filed under the name Heterocephalus glaber (naked mole-rat). RNAcentral describes it as "lncRNA (ENSHGLG00100034000.1)". The record is from RNAcentral. Lineage: Eukaryota; Metazoa; Chordata; Mammalia; Rodentia; Bathyergidae.
GUAAAAAUAUCUAGGUUGAAGCAGUGGCAAUAUGUAACUACUACUUUUACAUAAGUAAUUUUUAUGUGCCUUUUUUCUAAAGUUAAGGGUGUGGAUAAGAGUCCUUUCAGUAUAAUAUUUUCCUAAGAAUUGAAUGUGUUAAUAAUAGAAAGUUUAGAAUAGCACUGGUUUCAUGCUAAAAAUGGAAUGUAUCCCUUCAAUGUAUCAGAAACAAAUGGCAGUAUGUACCCAAAUCUAUACAUGGCAAUUGUAUUUUUUCACUCCUCUUCACAAUGGUUUUCACUAUUUUCUAGGAAAGUUAUGGAAAAUACUGAACAAUUCACAUAAAUAAAAAUAUUUUGGCAGACAAGAUAAUUAUUAAAAUUUAUUAUUCAACAGAUAAGUGCACCAAAUCACCAUGGGUAGAUGAAAAUCCACCAGUGUGCCUGGUUUCAUCCUCAUGGAGUCUCAGAAACCAAGAGGUGAAGAAAGCUGCCCUGAGAGUCCUGGAAAAGAGAGCAGAUUCCAUUCAAUUAAAAUAACAGUGAUGCUAGACAUUUACACUUUUCCCCUGUCUUUUGUUGUUCUCAGAAAUUCUUUUUUCUCAUUGAAAAAAAUGAAAUCUUAUUUUUUUACCUUUCCAUCUGCUCUUUUCUUAACAAACAGGAUCUUGGAUAUUUUGAGAAACAAGUACUUACAAAAUCAUAUUAUAAUUUGGAGUCAUCAAUUAAGUUUCAAAUCUAAGAUGUAAAAAAUCUACACUAUUAAGGAAAAACCUUAUGCCAAAAAUAAGAAUCUUUGUAAUUUUAUAACACACAUCAAUAUGAAAUUUCUGCAAAUCUCAAUUUUAAAAUAGUUUUACAAUAAAACAGCACUUCAUUUUGCACAUGUCAUUAUUUUUAUAGUGAUUUUCAGCAGCAAAUUUUGGGGCAAGUCAAGAUUUUCAAGUCAAGAUUACUGCAUUUACAUUCUACAUCUUGUGCUUGUCUAGCAUUUGACAAACACUAAUUUGCUGAGAUAGGUUCUGUACACCCACAUGCACAAUAUAUAACAAUUCCAUGUCUCUCUCAUCAGAAGUUGGACAUAAAACUUUAAGAACAAUAAAAUAAGUGCUGGCUAUUAUCACCAGAUGGCUUGCAUUCCUAUAAUAUUUUGGCAUAAUAAACACUACAUUUUUCUGAACAGUGUCCCUUUGUUUCACCAAUCUCAGUUUUUUGUACCAGGG